UUUUCUAGGUCAAUGAAUACCAUGGAAGAUCCUUCUUCUUCUCCUUGUAAAUUUCCAUUAAUCUUCUUAACAGAAAGAAAGACUUUGUUGUAGAUCUAUCAAAGACUCUGAUGUAGAUCUACCAGGCAUAAAGCCAAACUGGUCUCUAAUGCCCUAGUAGUGUCCCUAAGUUUGUGUUCAAUUACUCUUUCCCAUUGCUUUAUCAUCUGCCACAUCAGUUUAAUGCCACAAUAGUGUAGUGCAGUGAUUACUUUGAGGACCUAGAAGAUAUUUGAAAAUUAGGAAUUUGUAUUAAUAAAAGCCUUAUAGCGCAUUCAGAGCUUUCAAACUAUUGUACUUGUGGUUGGCUUAUAUCUCCAUGCAUAAGUUAAUUUAUGAGUGGAGUUUGGUAUUGCUGGUGGUGAUUAAUGCUUUUAUUAUCUAACAUAUCUACUUCUCAUUCAUCAUAGCAAUGUGAAAUGGCCUUAGGCAAUUGCCUGGAUAACUCUUGGUCAUUCUGCAUGUCCUUGAAAUUACUUUAUUAUAGUGGGUAUGCUGUGUGCAUGAAACCAGUUUUAUGACCUUUAUGCUUGAAACAAAUUGUAUAACCCUUUUGUUACAUAAAGAGGAAGUAAGUAUAGGCAGAGGAUGGGAGAUGAGCAGCAGCAGUAAAGCAGGAAGUGCUGUGAUCUGAGUAAAGGAAGCUGAGUCAGGCAUCUUGAAGGCAGGGCAACAAGUUAGAGUAGUUAAAGAACUACUGCAGGCAGUUAUCCUAUUAUAGAAUAUGCUAACUGAUCUGUAACUGAUUUGUUACAUUACAGCUACACAGCAGUAGCUGGAUCUGUAUAGGUAGUUGCUAACAAGUUGUGGUAACUCCCAUAUAAAUAGAGAGAAGGAUUUUAAAGAAGACAUUCCAGAGAAAUAUCAUCAAUAAUAUCUUCUAUUCUUUUUGAUUUCUUUCUAUCUCAGUCUUCAUUCUCUCUUCUUCCUCUAAUUGCUUUCUUUCUUCAAUUUCCACUUUCUCUGCUCUGUUAGGGUUCUAAACCCUGACACUUUUCUAUUGUUCAAACUAAAGGUUUGCUUCUGACCGUUGCUAUUAUUGAUGUCAUCCUUUCAUUGUAGUGGGUUGCCAACUUCUAAUAAGUUAUAUGAUCUAACUUUGGUUCUUAUAUUCAUGUUUUUUUGUUUUUUCAUCUAUAACUAAGUGGUGGGAAAUCAAAUUAAAAUUGGCCUGAAUUGUUUUCUUGCCACUCUUUAUAUCUCAGUUUUUACUUGGUCCAGUUGAUUAUGCUAUGAACUUGAAGUUGUAUUAAUUCUAGCUUUGUCUUACAUUGAACUGAAGAUGAUAAAUUUGAAAAUAUCCAACUAAUAGAUUAAUGUAUCUCUGCAUUUUUCUUUUUGAAAUGAAGUGGACCUUAUGUUUCUUAUAUUUUAGGGUGUAGGUAACAAUGACCAGA
Molecule: unclassified non-coding RNA, 1436 nt
Filed under: Hevea brasiliensis (rubber tree)
Lineage: Eukaryota; Viridiplantae; Streptophyta; Magnoliopsida; Malpighiales; Euphorbiaceae
Source: RNAcentral